GAUGAAGAACGCAGCGAAAUGCGAUAAGUAAUGUGAAUUGCAGAAUUCAGUGAAUCAUCGAGUCUUUGAACGCACAUUGCGCCCCCUGGUAUUCCGGGGGGCAUGCCUGUCCGAGCGUCAUUGCUGCCCUCAAGCACGGCUUGUGUGUUGGGCCCCGCCCCCCGGCUCCCGGGGGGCGGGCCCGAAAGGCAGCGGCGGCACCGCGUCCGGUCCUCGAGCGUAUGGGGCUUCGUCACCUGCUCCGUAGGCCCGGCCGGCGCCCGCCGGCGACCCCCCUCAAUCUUUUCAGGUUGACCUCGGAUCAGGUAGGGAUACCCGCUGAACUUAAGCAUAUCAAUAAGCGGAGGA
This 348-nucleotide unclassified non-coding RNA is filed under the name soil metagenome. RNAcentral's name for it is "partial contains 5.8S ribosomal RNA, internal transcribed spacer 2, and large subunit ribosomal RNA". The stretch from base 1 to 120 matches the Rfam family "5.8S ribosomal RNA", at positions 35 to 154 of the family's 154-position model. The record is from RNAcentral.